AAAGCGGCAGACGGGUGAGUAACGCGUGAAUAAUCAACCCUGUACAAAGGGAUAGCCUCGGGAAACCGGGAUUAAUACCAUAUGAAGUAUAUUAAUCGCACGAUAGAUAUAUUAAAACUUUGGUGGUACAGGACGAGUUCGCGUCCCAUUAGCUAGUUGGUGAGAUAAAAGCUUACCAAGGCGACGAUGGGUAGCCGGCCUGAGAGGGUGAACGGCCACACUGGAACUGAGACACGGUCCAGACUCCUACGGGAGGCAGCAGUGGGGAAUAUUGCACAAUGGAGGAAACUCUGAUGCAGCGACGCCGCGUGAGCGAAGAAGGCUUUCGAGUCGUAAAGCUCUGUCCUAAGAGAAGAAGAAGUGACGGUAACUUAGGAGGAAGCCCCGGCUAACUACGUGCCAGCAGCCGCGGUAAUACGUAGGGGGCUAGCGUUGUCCGGAAUUACUGGGCGUAAAGGGUGAGUAGGUGGUCAUUAAAGUCAGAUGUCAAAGGCAAUGGCUCAACCAUUGUAAGCAUAUGAAACUUAAUGACUUGAGUGCAGGAGAGUUAUAUGGAAUUCCUAGGUGUAGCGGUGAAAUGCGUAGAUAUUAGGAAGUACACCAGUGGCGAUAGGCGAUUUACUGGACUGUAACUGACACUGAUUCACGAAAGCGUGGGGAGCGAACAGGAUUACAUACCCUGGUAGUCCACGCUGUAUACGAUGUAGUGCUAGGUGUCGGCAAGAGAUUGUCGGUGCCGCAGUUAACGCAUUAAGCACUCCGCAUGGGGAGGACGAUCGCAAGACGGAGACUCAAAGGAAGCGACGGGGACCCGCACAAGCAGCGGAG
Molecule: ribosomal RNA, 828 nt
Filed under: uncultured bacterium
Lineage: Bacteria
Description: bacterial SSU rRNA
Rfam family: Bacterial small subunit ribosomal RNA
Source: RNAcentral